GCUCACAGAAGAUAAGGUUAAGAAGGUGGCUACGCAAAUGAUCACAGAGAAGACUACUGCUGGGCCUUUUGAUCGACCAUGCGAUUCAAAAAGCUCUUUAGUGCAGUUUGCAACAACAAAAAUCAGAGGAUUGGUCGUUUGUAAGGGUGGAUAUCUCAGAGGUGGCUGCCACCCGGAUUGGAAUUUAAUUCAAUCUAUUUCCCUGUCUGAAGUUUCAUACUAGAUGUAUGUUCCUGUGAUAUGAUUUGUUUAUGGAGAUGGAGAGAUGUGACUUUCAGAGUGACAUAAAUUCAGAGUCCUUCUAUUGAAAUCUAGAGGAUCGGUUGCAUUUUUGUUGAGGUACAAGAAGAACUUUGUUUUGUGUUAA
This is a long non-coding RNA of Triticum aestivum (bread wheat), 367 nucleotides long. RefSeq lists it as uncharacterized. Lineage: Eukaryota; Viridiplantae; Streptophyta; Magnoliopsida; Poales; Poaceae. The record is from RefSeq and is a predicted model, not a curated record. The transcript is spliced from 2 exons.